Molecule: RNA transcript, 4358 nt
Organism: Helianthus annuus (common sunflower)
Lineage: Eukaryota; Viridiplantae; Streptophyta; Magnoliopsida; Asterales; Asteraceae
Exons: 13
Source: RefSeq, a predicted model, not a curated record
AUGAAUAGUAAUUCAUAAGCCUUCACGUUAUUUCUUAUUUUACCUUCUUUCACACGUUUUUUUUAGUGUAUUUAUACAUUUCUUAUUCCUUCUUUAUUUGAUUAGUGCCUAUGGUGCACUGGUUUUUUUUUCCCUUAAAUCCCAAAUCCACUCAGGUUCGAUCUGAGCCCUAAUAUUUUUUCACACUUUUUUCCUUCGUAGUGCUGUACACGUGGUCUGCAGAGCUUUCAUUUGAGGACACCUGUUGUCCACGCUUCUCUUAUAUCCGAGUUUCCAAGACUUCGAUUGCAUGAGACUGUUGCUUCUUUUAGUGUUUUCUUUUUCGUUCUUCAGAUGAAGAAAUCUUCAGAGGUGCUACUGGUGGAAGAUUUCAUUGUCAUCUUUCAUGCAGCACCCGCAUUUGAAACGGAGGCGCCGUGCCUCCUGUGUCGACGAUGUUCCUUCUUCUUCCAAUGUUUCCUUUCCUACCGGAAGUGCCACCCACAGGCAGACUGCGCUUCGUGCAGCCAUUGCGCGUUCUAGGGUUCAAAGAACUAUUCACAGUGAUUGGGAUGUGUCCGAGCCUAUUUCUGUACAACAGUUGGAUCAUUCAACACCGGUUGAGUAUCUGGAUCUCGGGUGUUGUACAGAAGUUUGCGAGCAUUGUCAGGCGUUGUUUUGGUAUGACGAAAGGUUGGUUUCAGCUCCAGUAAAUCUUGGUCCUAAAUACAACAAGUGUUGCAAGGCUGGAAGAGUUGUGCUUCCAUACCCGGUUCAACCUCCUGACUUACUAAAGCUGUAUUAUACAAAUUCAGACUUCAUGCUAAACAUACGUGCUUACAAUGCUAUGUUCUCUAUGACUUCAUUUGGUGCAACGAUCGAUGAAGAUAUUAAUGUUGGAGGUGGUCCGUAUAUAUUCAAAGUUGCAGGUCAGGUCUCACAUUGGCUUGGCUCUUUGUGUCCACCUCCUGGUGAUAAACCUCGAUUCCUGCAGAUGUACAUAUUUGAUAGUGAAAAUGAAGUUGAAAACCGUUUGCGGUUUUUCCGUAAUAACGAAAGCGGGCAACUUAAUCCUGAAGUUGUUAACGCUUUGAGUCAUAUGCUUUCUGAAGUUAACGCUUAUGUACGGUUGUUAAAAUCAGCUAGGGAGAUUUGCUUGCAGUCUCCCGUCCCAAACUUUGUAAUAAAGUUGUUUAGUCGUGUGGUGGAUCGUCGAUAUGAUGUUCCUGCUCCUCAUACCCUGGGUGCAGUUAUACGUGAAGGUAACAUGGGUGGCGAAGACUACGAUGUCAUUAUAAAGAGUAAAGAUAACAUGCCACAUAGGGUUAGUAAGUUGCAUUCAUCAUAUAUGCCUCUACAAUACCCAAUUUUGUUUCCAGCAGGUGAACAAGGUUGGUCACCUGAGUUACACAUGCUUCAGGUGGCAACAACUGAUGAUGAUGCUUCACCAGUUGAAGAGCGUAACUUAACUCCGAUCAUGUAUUACAGUUAUCAAAUACAUGAUCGAAAAGAUACGUACACGCAUUUGUUGAGGUCUGGUAGGCUUUUCCAACAGUAUUUGGUCGACGCUUACGUGUGCGUGGAACACUGUCGUUUGCAAUAUAUAAGGACAAACCAGAAUGAAUUUCGGUGUGAGUUCUUAGACGGAGUCCAAGAUGCAAUAUCUCGAGGUGAUGUUGAUGCACGAAAUGUUGGUAAGCGUGUUGUCCUGCCAGCGUCAUUCACCGGAGGCCCCAGGUAUAUGUACAAGCAUUACCAAGAUGCACUUGCAAUAUGCCGAGUGUAUGGAAAUCCACAAUAUUUCAUCACAUUUACCUGUAAUGCACGCUGGCCAGAAAUAACUAGAGAAAUCCACCGUGUUGGUGCAUCCACCGCUCAGGACAGGCCAGACAUAAUUGCUAGAGUUUUCCAGAUGAAGGUUCGAUCUUUCCUUAAAUACUUGAAGAAUGCUAAACCAUUUGGAGAUGUAACUGCUGAUCUUUACACCAUCGAGUUUCAAAAGAGAGGCCUUCCCCAUUGUCAUACAUUGCUUUGGGUUACAGAUGCAUACACUGUGCACACUCCUGAAGAUGUUAACCGUUAUAUAUCUGCUGAACUUCCAGACCGUCAUACUGAUCCGGCGCUUUAUAGAAUUGUCGCUGAAUCUAUGCUGCAUGGUCCAUGUGGUAUAGCUAGGAUGACUUCACCAUGUAUGAAAGAUGGCGAGUGCACAAAGAACUUUCCAAAGCCAUAUGAAAGCGUCACUCGCUUCGACUCUGCUGGCUAUGUUCAUUAUAUGAGGGCUUCCAACUGUGAACCUUUCUUGAAAAAUGGUAUUCCCCUUGACAAUGGCUUUGUUGUGCCGUAUAAUCGAGAUUUGCUCCUACACUUCGAUGCUCAUAUUAAUGUUGAGUACUGCGGUUGGAGUAUGCUUAUCAAGUAUUUGUUCAAGUACAUAGCAAAAGGAGCUGAUCGAAUCCGCUUCGCAUUAGCUUUUGACAGAGAUGUGUCAUCAUCUGAAGUUCCGAAUGAAGAACCGGUAGUAGAUGAAAUACAGAAUUUCAUGGAUGCUCGAUUCAUUUGCCCGCAUGAAGCUACAUGGAGAAUACUAGCAUUCCUGAUACAUCACAGAAGUCCGCCAGUUCAAGUUUUGGCAGUUCAUUUAGAAGGUGUCUCAUUAUGGAACACCCCGGAGUCGUUGAACUAAGGCCAUCAAAAGCUGCACCAGCAAUCCAUGUCAGAGUGCUACGCUCAUGGGUGCCAGACUACAGAGAUAAUGAACUGCACUUCUUACUCGUAGAUCAGGAGGGCCUUGGAAUUCAAGUGGUAACGAAGGAUAAUGACUGCACAAAUGUACGAUCAAGGCUGCAGAUACAAGGAUGCUAUGAAAUAAAGUGUUAUGCUUGCGUAAAGGUUGAUGACUUUACCGCAGUGAUCACCCACCCUGCAAUGAUUAGGCUAGGAACGGCAUCUGUCAUCACACCUAUAGCUGAUACCGAAGAAUUACCGACUCAAUACUUUGAGUUUGCAAGCAGGAGAAAAAUGGAACUUGAAGCCCAAAAAGAGAAGGGUAUCGUAGACUUCAUCGGAGUCUACCUCAAGAUCGAAGACAAGACAAGCAAAGCUGACAGACCGUUUGUUGUGCUUACGCUUCGAGAUAGCAGUAAUCAAGACAUGACUAUCGCUCUGUGGAAACAGAUAGCAACGUCUUCGCACCGAUUCAACAGAAGAAGUAUCGAAAUGGCUACCUCACCUGCAAUUGUAGCGUUCACCAGCUUGCAGGUUAAAAAAAACAAAUACGGUCUUCAAUUACAAUCAACUAACGCAACAUACGUCUACCUUAACCCGCAACAUGUGGAGGCUGUGCUGUUGAAAGAAAUGUGGCAAAAACAAGAACCGCAUCAUCCAACAUCGCAAAGUGUACCUGACAAUGACGUACCCAUAUCCGAUUUACUACAACUACAACCAACUGAAAUAACAGGGAAGACAUACACCAUCAAGGCCGCAGUCACAGAAAUUGAAGCGACCAAGGAUUGGUAUUACACAGCAUGUCCAAAAUGUAAUCAAUCAGUACUACCAGCUGACACUGAAUGGUUCUGUACAAAAGAUGGCAUGCUAAAAAAAGCCAAUACCAUGUACAAAAUCAUCACUACAGUAACUGACUACACCGGAGGAAUCCAGGCAGUCAUUUUCGACCGUGCAGGCAGGCAACUAUUAGGAAUGACAUGCGAAGAACUAACUGCAAAAGAAAACCCAGUUGAAACCUUGCACUCCAUUAUAGGCAAACAAGCAUACAUGGGAAUCGAGCUACAACAUGACAAAAAGACGCACGCAAUGAAAUGCAUUGUUAACAAAGUUUCAUUUCCAGUAGCCAACAGUACUGAACAAGUUUCCUCCAGUCUCACUGGGACGAUACAAACUCCUCAUCCAACCACGCCAGCCCAGAAACCAAACAGUGGAACUACAGCCAAGCGACAACUAGAAUUCCACGACUCGAAUCAGCCACCCAAAAAGCAUGGCAAAGGCGCUCUCACAGACUAGAAUCUGGUUAACAACAGCCAUUCGUUUUGUCCACCUGAAACAACGGGUGGGGGAUAAUCAAGUCAUUUCUUUUGUACAAAUGAUGCCAACUACUUGCUAACUACAGGAUGCAUAUACAAGCAUCAUAACACAUCAGCCAUGUAAAAAACUUAGGUAACAGUUAAAUGUUAGGGGCAGUAUUAUGUAUGCUUAGACAUACUAUUUUUUGAUGGAUGCAUCAGCCAUGUAAAAAACCUAGGUAACGGUUGAAUGUUAGGGGCAGCAAUAUGUAUGCUUAGACAUACUAUUUUUUGAUGGAUGCAUCUACAAUGUAGCAUUUAGGGGCAGCAAUAUGUAUGCUUAGACAUACUAUUUUUUGA